GUCAUCGCAUUCUCCACUAUAUCAUCAACCUAUAAAUGAAAAUUUAAAUAUAAUGAAAAUAUCGUUAUUUUAUUUCUAAAUAAAAUAAAACGAAAAUAUAUAAAUUGAUUAAAUACUUACAUUAUCGGUUACAGACGCUUUUCCUUUAUCAUACGAUGUACUGUCGACAUUCAUACGAUGUGUUGUUUGUUUGCUUAAUGACGAACCAGUUGUUCCUAUUGUGCGACUACUCUUUGUGCUUUUUCCGAUAUGUUUAGUUAUAGCAUACUUGAACAAAUCCUAAUUAAACAAAAUAAAUGACUAUUUAUUAAAAUAAUUAAAAAUCGAUUAAUUAAUUAUAUUGAAAUAAGAAAUUAAAUAAUAACCUUUUCGG
Molecule: long non-coding RNA, 373 nt
Filed under: Zostera marina
Lineage: Eukaryota; Viridiplantae; Streptophyta; Magnoliopsida; Alismatales; Zosteraceae
Description: long non-coding RNA (ZMAR_LNC000241)
Source: RNAcentral